GACUCGAGCACUACGGGGGAUAGUUCGAUGCUUCGGUUUUUGUUUGGUUGUUCCCUGAGGUAUGCAGUGUGUCAGGCUGGUCAGGUGUGGUGUUUGUUGUUGUUCACACACAGGUGGUUCCGUUCAAAUUGGAAGGUCAGCAGUCAGCAUCUGAGUCAGGGCAGUGAUGAGCAAGGCUAGCAUCCUCUUCUUUGUUUCUGUUUUGUUAUUGUGACCGUCAUCAAACCACCGCCCUCGAAUGCUGAACUGACAACUGGGUGACAGCUGGACUCACUGUGGGUUAUUUACGUAUCUGAUGCGUCAUUUGAUACGCUGAGUAACUUGGAAGGAAUGUGUCACCAUCAGCGGGCGGUGUAAUGGCCGAAGAGAUGCUGAGGUACACCGUAUCUCACUAGUGUCAAGAGGAGCACUCACUCACGUCGGCGUCGUGUUAUGGAUCAUAUGGCGCUGGAGUGCGAAAUGAAGUGAGGCAGAACGAUCUGGAGGAAAAUGUUGCUAAGAGCUGAGGUCAUUGUCCUUCUCGGUACAGCAAGACCGAGGCGUGGGCUGCGAUAUGAGGAGGCACUCUGGUCCGUCACGAUGGCUGAGAGUUUAUUGUGGUGGAUUUUGACUAUUGAUACAACUCACCGUUACGUUUCUGGCAGCAGUUGAAUAUCGUAAGUAAUUGUAAGAAGCCUUUGAAAAACCUCAGGAGAAAAACACGGCACCGUUUAGUAUCUUUUGAGAAGGAUCACUUACCGUCCCUCGUUAGAUACUCCCACGCUUCUUUCCUGCUAACGUCUUGUGAUAUUUUUGGUGAAUGUAAGCACAGGCUGCGUCGUGAGUGGGUGUGUAAAUAGCCAAGCAUCAUGAGUAAGACUUUUUGACAGUUGAAAGAUAGAAAGGAUUAGCAGAUAAUUAAAAAAAAGUAUCAUAUUAGGUAGAUUGGUUAGUUAGAUAUUACAUUAAAAUUAGAUAGACAAAGUUAAAGAAAAUCUAUAAUUCAAUAAACCUUACGUCUCUUUUCUACAUUUAUAUUAUCCUGUCUAAAACCUCUCCACAUUCCUAUACCUUUUUUUUUCUUUUUUUCAUGUAAUCAGCGUCACGUUAUCAGUGUCAUAAUUUUCUUGAACCUUCGUGUGGCAAAUCCUCGAGCAAAUUUACAAAGUUGUUGAAAAUGUGUUGACGUAUGAACAAUACACAGUGAAUUAUGGAAACACUUGUUCAUUAUUAAAACCCAAAAAGUUUAUAUUUAAUCGGCUAAAGGACAAUAAGUAUUCGUGCAUACAACAACCAUCAUGAACGAACAAUGCUGUCUAUACAGUUUUGUUGGUAAAUAUCACAGUAAAAUGGAUGAAAGCACAUUGAAAAUUUUCAGCAGUCUGUUCUUUUGUGUCAUCCCGUGUCAUUCUUUUUUGUAUGUGUUGUGACGGGCGAAUAAUUUAAGUUCGCAACGUGUGUUCCUAUUUUUCCUGUCCAUAACCCCUAUACGAUGUGUUCUGUCUCACACUCACAGCUGCAAUACCAACAACACUUUUAUUACCUAACAUUCAAAAACUACACGAAUACAUAUAUGUCUGGAUCCGGGUUUAGGAGAGAUGUGUGUGUCCUGCAGCGAAUACCGUACAGCGCCUGACUAAAGGACAAUGAUGCUCCCUGAUUGUUAAGCGACCGAGGAGGAAACAUAGAUCACCAUUCCGUUAGUGAUGUGUUGCGUAACCCUUUGUGUCUAGUUCUGUCAUAAUAGCAGUUCAGAGUAGCUGCUGAUUGGUAUGUUGGCACCCAUGAAAACCUGUCGUUACUCAUAAGUCAGGUUAGCGUACACACACACACACACACACACACACACACACACACACACACACACACACACACCGGUUACAUGACCUACUUUAUAUCACUGUAAAAGCUCCCUUUGGUGUGAGAUUUCAGGAGAGACUUCCGCAAACUGGCGUUCAUUAUCAGUAGGAAAAUUUUUCAUGCCACUUAACGUUUGUUGAUGAGGAAAUUGCUACCAUCUCAAGCACUAAUAUUGUGAAAGCAAAUGUUGAUCGUCCAUAAAAUGUUCUGCUUAUGUGGUUUGCUUUUCGUUCACUUCUGAGUGGUCAUCAUUUUAAAAAGACUCGGUAAUGAAGUUGGUGAUAAACAAGGGUGACGCCAGCCAGCCAGCCAGCCUCCCCGCGUGGCCUCAGAGGUAUCAAAGCUUUCACCGCGUGUCUCACUAGAAAUAGCUGUCAAGUUUCUCAGAUCGGGUAAAAAAAGUUACUAGCGACAAAUAUGGGGUGAUGGUUGUCGACAAAGUGGCAGUAAAGAGUGAAGAAGCAGGGCGACAGCAGUGAAGUUGUGGUGUACUGUACGAUAUUUUUUCCCUGGUGAACCCAAGGCAGCAUUCCUUCGCUGUCUUCCGCUCCCCAGCUAGCUUGCCUUCGCUCAGCACAUACUCGCCUGUUUCUUGGUAUCAAUCAUUUCUUGAACUAAAUGAUGCUGUAGUUAUAAAGUUGGAAACAUGUAUGAAAUUUGCGAUUUAAAUGAUGCAGCAUAUGAGCCAGUAGUAAAAGUGAGAUAUAUAGCAGUUAUUCACCAUGUAACUUGGCUGUUUAUAGCUACUUGGUAAACAUGCUCCCCUCUGGCAGUUUUGCUCCCCUUCAGCACACGUGUUGGCGCUUCUUGCCCCCCUAUGAGGUAUCCUACUCGUCUUGUUCCCUGCUGGAGGUUAAUAGAAAAUAAAUAAAUAAAUAAUUGUCAGUAAAGAAGGAAUUUUCUGAUAAUGAGUAACGAUGUAGUUAUGAAAUUGGUGAAAUGACUAUUUUUCCUGUGGAGAGGGCGUGUCUUGUGUUGAAGAAAUUA
Portunus trituberculatus (swimming crab) is the source of this 2826-nucleotide long non-coding RNA. RefSeq lists it as uncharacterized. NCBI's taxonomy places the organism in Eukaryota, Metazoa, Arthropoda, Malacostraca, Decapoda, Portunidae. The record is from RefSeq and is a predicted model, not a curated record. The transcript is spliced from 3 exons.